This 472-nucleotide ribosomal RNA is filed under the name uncultured bacterium. RNAcentral's name for it is "partial 16S ribosomal RNA". It matches the Rfam family "Bacterial small subunit ribosomal RNA", at positions 28 to 507 of the family's 1533-position model. The record is from RNAcentral.
GACGAACGCUGGCGGCGUGCUUAACACAUGCAAGUCGAACGCUGAAGCUUGGUGCUUGCACUGGGUGGAUGAGUGGCGAACGGGUGAGUAAUACGUGAGUAACCUGCCCUUAACUCUGGGAUAAGCCUGGGAAACUGGGUCUAAUACUGGAUACGACAUGUCACCGCAUGGUGGUGUGUGGAAAGGGUUUUACUGGUUUUGGAUGGGCUCACGGCCUAUCAGCUUGUUGGUGGGGUAAUGGCUCACCAAGGCGACGACGGGUAGCCGGCCUGAGAGGGUGACCGGCCACACUGGGACUGAGACACGGCCCAGACUCCUACGGGAGGCAGCAGUGGGGAAUAUUGCACAAUGGGCGGAAGCCUGAUGCAGCGACGCCGCGUGAGGGAUGACGGCCUUCGGGUUGUAAACCUCUUUCAGCACGGAAGAAGCGAAAGUGACGGUACGUGCAGAAGAAGCGCCGGCUAACUACGUG